RNAcentral lists this long non-coding RNA (313 nucleotides) under Homo sapiens (human). RNAcentral describes it as "non-protein coding lnc-TAF5L-3:1". Lineage: Eukaryota; Metazoa; Chordata; Mammalia; Primates; Hominidae. The record is from RNAcentral.
UGUCAGACCACUGAACAUUUUUUGUGUGUGUUUCUUUUCCCACCCCACCCCACUGUUCCCAGGAUGAUGAGGAUGAUAAUGCAGGCACGGAGAUGAAGAUACUGCGGGGCCACUGCUCUGCCGUGACCUCGCGCAUGCGAGCACCUUCCUGUCUCUCAUUUUCACCAUCUGACUGGGGCUAGGUUUGGUUAGAGUCUCAAACUCUUGGGCUCAAGCAAUCCUCCCACCUCAGUCUCCCAAAGUGCUAGGAUUAUAGGCAUGAGCCACCGCACCUAGCCUAAAAGAAAUUUGUAUAUAAAAAUGUGAGUUUCUA